This 148-nucleotide non-coding RNA is filed under the name Chlorocebus sabaeus (green monkey). The record is from Rfam by way of RNAcentral. Lineage: Eukaryota; Metazoa; Chordata; Mammalia; Primates; Cercopithecidae.
GCCUGGCGUGGUGGAGCGUGCCUGUAGUCCCAGCUACUCGGGAGGCUGAGGCAGAAGAAUCACUUGAAUCCAGGAGGCGGAGGUUGCAGUGAGCCGAGAUCAUGCCACUGCAUUCCAGCCUGGGUGACAGAGUGAGAUUCUGUCUCAA